UGAUAGAGUUUGUAAGAUAAGUGCGUGUGUUUAAGAAAAUAUUAAUGAAGUUUUAUUUUAAGUGUUAGUUGAUAUUCCUACUAUUUAGUCCUCUUCCUUUAACAAGAACCAUUUGCCCAAAUAUCUUAUGAAAAACUCUCCCAAGCAAUAGAUGGCUUCUCUCCCUCUAAUUUGAUUGGUAUAUGUAGUUUUGGUUCUGUGUAUAAAGGGAGCAUUGACGAUGAAGAUGUUGCAAUCAAAGUGCUUAACAUUGAGCGCUGAGGUGCUUCUAGAAAGUUUCAUAGUUGAGUGUGUUGAAAGAAAUUCGCCAUCGAAAUCUGGUCAAGAUCGUAACUUGUUGCUCGAGCAUUGAUUUUCAAGGUAACGAUUUUAAGGCUCUAGUGUAUGAAUACAUGCCUAAUGGGAGUUUAGACAAAUGGGUGCAUCCAGACCAAGAAACUUAUGACGAUCAAAAUGAUCUAAGCCUUGUUUGUAGAAUCAACAUUGCCAUUGAUGUGGCUUGUGCACUUGAUUAUCUCCAUCACGAUUGCCAUCAGCCAAUCAUUCAUUGUGAUCUGAAACCGAGUAAUAUUCUUCUUGAUAGCAACAUGACUGCCCAUAUUGGAGACUUUGGGUUAUCGAGAGUUCUUCCACAACUUAGAAAUCUAACUGAAAGCAGCUCAUCAAUUGGAAUUAAAGGAACUAUUGGCUGUGCUGCACCAGAUUAUGGUCUAGGAGGAGAAGUUUCAAUACGUGGAGAUAUCUACAGUUAUGGGAUUUUAUUAUUGGAAAUGAUAACAGGAAAGAGACCGACUCAUGAUAUGUUUGAGAUUUCCAAGGUUAUGGUAGGAGUUGAAUGCUCCAUCGAGUCACCAAGAGAUUGAAUGAACAUGACUAAGGUUGUUCAUGAGCUGCUCAAGGUUAGGGCUGUACUUGAGAAAACUACAACCAAAAACCAUAACAACAGACAUCGGUACCUGUAUUUAUUUAUUUAUUUAUUUUAUUUACUUUUUUUUUUGUAUUUAAUUUAUUUUUCUAAUAUCUGUUGGUGCUAGACAAUGUUAUUUCAUAAUGAGCUUACCGCGUUAUCUUGGAGGACAAACAGAGUAAACAAGAGCAAGGUUAUAAUUGGAGUAAUCCAUCAAAUGGAACCUGAAUAGAAACUCAAAAUCAACGCAAAGUCGAGAGGCGAGGCGUACUGAUUCAACUCUCUCUACGGUAUCAUUUUCAAAAUAGGUCAGUACCAACGGAAACUAGACUGAAAUAUCUUUCCAACGAUUUAGGACAUGUAUUGGAGUUGAAAUGAGCUGCAAACCCGUCAAACCGGACGAAGGACCAAACCAAACUAGAUAUGUGAACAAAUAGCUUUUCUUGAUGUGUGAAGAGGUGAUUAGGAAAAGGAGAGUUCGAAAGUUUUGUGUAGGUUGGUCAGCUUUUUAAAAGUAUUUUUGAAAAACUGUAUGGCAUUCCCAGUUCCCACCAUUUCAUUCUUUUGGUGACUGUUACAUGUUAAUGGUCAUUUGAGAAUUGUUAUCCGUCAUCUUUUCGUCUUUUCUCUUCAUAAAUAGGGGAAGAAAUAAUAGGUUCUGCAGCCUCAUUUGUGCCUAGUGACUCCUCUUUAUCUUCAAGGGGGUUUCCUAUAAAAUUGAAUCAUCAUUUUAAAAAUUA
Jatropha curcas is the source of this 1647-nucleotide RNA transcript. It is a transcript of the gene named putative LRR receptor-like serine/threonine-protein kinase At3g47570, with no coding region annotated. The record is from RefSeq and is a predicted model, not a curated record. Lineage: Eukaryota; Viridiplantae; Streptophyta; Magnoliopsida; Malpighiales; Euphorbiaceae.